RNAcentral lists this ribosomal RNA (253 nucleotides) under uncultured bacterium. Its description in RNAcentral is "partial 16S ribosomal RNA". It matches the Rfam family "Bacterial small subunit ribosomal RNA", at positions 524 to 776 of the family's 1533-position model. The record is from RNAcentral.
GACGGAGGGUGCUAGCGUUGUUCGGAAUGACUGGGCGUAAAGGGCGCGUAGGCGGCUCGUGAAGUCGGGUGUGAAAGCCCGGGGCUCAACCCCGGAACGGCAUCCGAUACUGGCGGGCUUGAGACCGGGAGAGGAGGGUGGAAUACCCAGUGUAGAGGUGAAAUUCGUAGAUAUUGGGUAGAACACCGGUGGCGAAAGCGGCUCUCUGGCCCGGAUCUGACGCUGAGGCGCGAAAGCGUGGGGAGCAAACAGG